Molecule: ribosomal RNA, 301 nt
Filed under: Metaperipatus blainvillei
Lineage: Eukaryota; Metazoa; Onychophora; Udeonychophora; Euonychophora; Peripatopsidae
Description: partial 12S ribosomal RNA
Source: RNAcentral
UGAACUUAAAAGUUUGGCGGUAAUUAGUUUUAUAGAGGAGUAUGUAAUUUUUAUCGACAAUACACGAGUGAGCUUACUUGAAAAUACUUAUAUACCUCCGUUGUUAGAUUUUAUUAUAUGGAUAAGUUUCUUAACAAUAAAUAUUAAUACUCCAGGUCAAGGUGUAGUUUAAUCAAGAUAUUAUGUAUUAUAAUCAUAAAAUAUUGAAACAGAUUGAUACUUGUAAUAGGUUAAAAAGGUAAAUUUAUAGGUAAAGAGAAAAUAAUUUGUUUUUUUGARAGUUUACUGGUUAUGUACACAU